AUGUCAAGUGCAAAACAGGUGCUUGAUCCUGCAUUUCAAGGAGCUGGCCAAAAACCUGGGACAGAAAUAUGGCGGAUUGAAGAUUUUAAGCCAGUUCCUUUGCCAAAGUCAGAUUAUGGUAAAUUCUACUGUGGAGAUUCAUAUAUUGUUCUGCAGACGACUUGUAACAGGGGCGGUGCUUACCUCUCUGACAUUCACUUCUGGAUUGGGAAAGAUUCUAGUCAGGAUGAAGCUGGCACUUCAGCAAUCAAGACAGUUGAACUUGAUUCCAUGCUUGGGGGUCGUGCAGUCCAGCACAGGGAACCCCAAGGCUAUGAAUCUGAUAAGUUCCUAUCAUACUUCAAGCCAUGCAUUAUACCCAUGGAGGGAGGUUUUGCUUCUGGGUUUAGAAAGCCAGAGGAGGACAAAUUUGAAACACGGCUGUAUAUUUGCAAAGGAAAGAGAGCUAUCAGAGUUAAAGAGGUUCCAUUUGCUCGUUCCUCACUAAACCACGAUGAUGUCUUUAUCUUAGAUACUGAAAAGAAAAUAUAUCAAUUCAAUGGUGCUAACUCCAAUAUUCAAGAAAGAGCCAAAGCACUGGAAGUGAUCCAACAUUUAAAGGACAAGUACCAUGAAGGAGUUUGUGAUGUUGCAAUUGUUGAUGAUGGAAAAUUGCAAGCAGAAUCAGAUUCCGGUGAAUUCUGGGUGGUUUUUGGUGGUUUUGCACCAAUAGGGAAGAAAGCUAUAAGUGAUGAUGAUGUUAUUCUUGAAGCUACACCAACAAAGCUUUACAGUGUCAAUAAUGGUAAACUGACGUUAGAAGAUACCGUUUUGACAAAAUCAAUUCUUGAGAACACUAAAUGCUUUUUACUUGACUGCGGGUCCGAGUUAUAUGUAUGGGUUGGUCGAGUAACACAAGUGGAUGAUAGGAAAGCUGCAAGUGUGGCGGUUGAGGAAUUCAUUGUUAAGCAAAAUAGGCCAAAGACAACAAGAGUAACUCAAGUAAUUCAAGGUUAUGAGGACCAUACGUUCAAGUCCAAAUUUGAUUCGUGGCCUGUAACUAACGCGGCAGGAGCCAGCGGGGAGGAUGGCCGAGGAAAAGUUGCAGCGCUGUUGAAGAAAAAAGGUGAUGUCAAGGGAGCCUCAAAAAACAGCCCUGCAGUAAAUGAGGAAAUUCUUCCUUUGCUAGAAGGCGGUGGAAAGCUUGAGGUAUGGUGUGUUGAUGGCAGUGCUAAGACUGCUCUUCCGAAGGAAGAUCUUGGAAAAUUUCAUAGCGGGGAUUGUUAUAUUGUUCUCUACACAUAUCAUUCGGGUGACAAAAGAGAAGAAUUCUAUCUAACUUACUGGAUUGGGAAGAAUAGUAUACUGGAAGAUCAGCAUACGGCUCUUCAAAUAACUAAUACAAUUUGGAAUUCAAUGAAAGGAAGACCUAUUCUGGGUCGUAUUUAUGAAGGGAAGGAGCCUCCACAGUUUAUUGCUCUUUUCCAGCCCAUGGUUAUUCUUAAGGGUGGAAUCAGCUGUGGGUACAAGAAUUCUGUACAAGAGAAGGGCUUGCCAGAUGAAACAUAUCCUGGCACUGGUGUCGCUCUUGUUAGAAUUAAUGGAACAUCAAUUCAUAACAAUAAAACACUUCAAGUCGAUGAGGUGUCAACAUCCUUGAGUUCCACGAAUUGUUUUGUCUUGCAAUCUGGAAAUUCAGUGUUUAUAUGGAUUGGCAACACAAGUUCUUAUGAACAACAACAGUGGGCUGCAAAAAUUGCUGAGUUCUUGAAGCCUGGCGUUGCUGUCAAACAUUGCAAGGAGGGAACUGAAAGCUCUUCUUUCUGGUCUGCUCUUGGUGGAAAACAGGAUUACUCAAAUAAAAAUGCCACACAGGAUGUUGUUAGAGAACCCCAUCUCUACACAUUCUCAUUUAGGAAUGGCAAGCUGGAGGUAACUGAAGUUUACAAUUUUUCACAAGAUGAUCUGUUGACCGAAGAUGUGAUGGUACUUGACACACAUGCCGAAGUCUUUGUCUGGAUGGGUCAGUGUGUGGACACAAAAGAGAAACAAAUGGCAUUUGAAAUUGGCGAGAAAUACAUAGAACAUGCGGUGACCUUCGAAGGUCUUGCUCCUGACGUGCCUCUCUAUAAAGUCAGUGAAGGGAAUGAACCUUGCUUCUUUAGGACAUACUUCUCCUGGGAUAACACAAGAUCUCUGAUUCACGGGAAUUCAUUUCAGAAGAAACUUUCACUUAUGUUUGGAAUGCGUUCAGAGAGCGGGCCUAAGGGCUCAGGUGAUGGUGGACCAACUCAAAGGGCAUCAGCACUGGCUGCACUUUCAUCCGCUUUUAAUCCAUCUUCCCAGGAUAAACAGUCUACUGAUAGGCCUCAAAGCUCUGGUGAUGGUGGACCUACUCAGCGUGCUUCGGCAUUGGCUGCAUUAUCAUCUGCACUCAAUACGUCAGGGAAACCCAAAAGCCCACAAUCACAAUCUCGUGCAGGUCAAGGGUCUCAGAGAGCAGCUGCUGUUUCAGCAUUGUCUAAUGUUUUAGCUGCCGAAAGUCCCCGCAUUGAUGCAGAGGGUGAAGCAGCGGGGUCCUCAGAAUUUGAUAUGGUGGAUGAGGGGGAGCGAACUGAGCCUGACGUAUCACGGGAAGAGACUGCCAACGAAAAUGGUGGUGAAACAGUCUUCAGCUAUGACCGUCUGAUAUCAAAGUCUACCGACCCUGUCCGUGGAAUAGAUUACAAGCGCAGAGAGACAUAUUUGUCGGACAGUGAAUUCCAGACUGUAUUUGGUAUGAGCAAGGAGGAGUUCUACAAGCAGCCAAGGUGGAAGCAAGAACAGCAGAAAAGAAAAGCGGAUCUUUUCUGA
Molecule: ribosomal RNA, 2832 nt
Filed under: Triticum aestivum (bread wheat)
Lineage: Eukaryota; Viridiplantae; Streptophyta; Magnoliopsida; Poales; Poaceae
Description: partial small subunit ribosomal RNA
Source: RNAcentral